ACGUAGGGUGCGAGCGUUGUCCGGAAUUAUUGGGCGUAAAGAGCUUGUAGGCGGUUUGUCGCGUCUGCUGUGAAAAUCCGGGGCUCAACCCCGGACUUGCAGUGGGUACGGGCAGACUAGAGUGUGGUAGGGGAGACUGGAAUUCCUGGUGUAGCGGUGAAAUGCGCAGAUAUCAGGAGGAACACCGAUGGCGAAGGCAGGUCUCUGGGCCACUACUGACGCUGAGAAGCGAAAGCGUGGGGAGCGAACAG
RNAcentral lists this ribosomal RNA (251 nucleotides) under uncultured prokaryote. RNAcentral describes it as "partial 16S rRNA". It matches the Rfam family "Bacterial small subunit ribosomal RNA", at positions 525 to 775 of the family's 1533-position model. The record is from RNAcentral.